This is a small nuclear RNA of Jaculus jaculus (lesser Egyptian jerboa), 104 nucleotides long. The record is from Ensembl. Lineage: Eukaryota; Metazoa; Chordata; Mammalia; Rodentia; Dipodidae.
GUGCUCAUUUCGGCAACACAUAUACUAAAAUCGGAACAACACAAAGAUUAGCAUGACCCCUGUGCGAAGAUGACAUGCAAAUUCAUGAAGUGUUGCAUGUAUUU